Molecule: long non-coding RNA, 211 nt
Organism: Pan troglodytes (chimpanzee)
Lineage: Eukaryota; Metazoa; Chordata; Mammalia; Primates; Hominidae
Exons: 2
Source: RefSeq, a predicted model, not a curated record
AAAGAUUUAAAAAAUGUGUUGGGGAGAAAACCGAGAGUGGCCAAGUGACUGUUGAUACGGAGAUUACUAUGGAUACAAGGAAGCCAGCUUUCUGCCAUGUGAGGACACUACCAGAAGGCCCUCAUCAGAAACUCAAACCUGCAAGAGCCUUGAUCUUGGACUUCCCAGCCCCCAGAAGUAUGAGAAAAUAAAUUUCCAUUUUUAUAAAUUA